UAAAAUUGUUGAAGGAGGGGAGUUAAAUUUAAGUGAUUUUUUUUAUAUUUUAUUUAUUUUAUUUUGAUUUUACAUUUAUUUUAUAUUUUGUGUAGGUUUGUAUGGGGUUUACAUUUCUACAACACAUCUUAUAUUUCUGUGCAGGUUUGUACAGAAGUCAUAUUUCUAGGUUUACAUUUUAGUAUAUCUAUGGCGCAUUUUAUUGAAAUAAAAUUUUGUGUAGGUUUGUAUAAAAUUUUUAAGUUGCAGAUAUAAUAGAACAUUUCUACAACACAUCUUAUAUUUAAUAAGUUAUAACUGCGCAGGUUUGCUACCAAAUUAAAGCUUAAAGCGUUUUAGUUAUAUUAAAGAGUUUAUUGUACAAUCGAUAUAUUUUGAAGAAAUAUUAUAUUUCUGAUAUUUAUUGAUUUUUGUUUAUUAAAAUUUUACAUUUCUAUGGCGCAUUUUAGAAAAAAUUUUUUUUUGUGUAGGUUUGUAGUACUGAAAAGGAAAUUUAUUAUUAAUAAAAAAGAAUGGGGUUUACAUUUCUACAACACAUCUUAUAUUUAUUAAAAUUAUUUUAUAAUUGCAGGUUUGCACAGUUACGAAAAUUAAAAUUAAAUUAAAUUUGACUUUUAUAACAGCAUUAUAAAUUUUUAGUUAUGGAUGCUGGGCAUUUCAAUUUUUAUAAUAUCUGGUUUUUUUAAAAAAAAGUCUAAUUUUUCUAUUAAAUAUAAAAUAAUUAGUGUCAAGAUUUUAUUGGUGCAUUGUAUGUGGUUGGGACAGCUAGUGCUAAAAUAAACAAUACUAACUUAUUUAUGUUGCAAACAUAUAGGAUUAAAAAUUUCUAUAUUUUAAAGUUUUUCAUCAGUUUUUUGUUAUUAUUAAACCCUAUAUAUAAUUUUAUUUUUUUAAGAAAAUAAUUUUUAAAAUUUUUUUAAAAAUUUAAUAAUGAUAGAAUUAGUAUUUUAUAUGUAAUUUGUUUAUUUUUUUUUAAUUAAGCAAAGGAAUUCGGCAAAAUUUUACCCACCUGUUUAUUAAAAACAUGUCUUUUUGAUUUAUAAUUUUAAGUUUAACCUGCCCAAUGAAUUUUUAAUGGCUGCAGUAUUUUGACUGUACAAAGGUAGCAUAAUCAUUAGUUUUUUGAUUGAAAGCUGGAAUGAAGGGUUGGAUGAGGUAAAAACUGUCUCUGUUUAAACAAAAAAAUUUUAUUUUUAAGUGAAAAAGCUUAAAUAUUUAAAGAAGACGAUAAGACCCUAUAGAAUUUUAUAUUUUUUUUUAUUUGAUUAAUAAGUAUUUAAAUUUGAAUUUUAAAAAAUAUUUUAUUGGGGUGAUAAAAAAAUUUAAUAAACUUUUUAUUUUUAAACAUUAAUUUAUGAAAAUUUGAUCCUUUAUUAAGAUUAUAAGAUAAAUUACCUUAGGGAUAACAGCGUAAUUUCUUUUUAGAGUUCAAAUCGAAAAUGAAGUUUGCGACCUCGAUGUUGGAUUAAAAUUUAUAUUUGGCGCAAAAGCUUUAUAAUUGGGUCUGUUCGACCUUUAAAAUUUUACAUGAUCUGAGUUUAGACCGGCGUGAGCCAGGUUGGUUUCUAUCUCUUUAAUUUAAAAAUUUUUUAGUACGAAAGGACCAAAAAUUUUUUUUAAAAAAUAUUUUUUGAUUAAAAUU
RNAcentral lists this ribosomal RNA (1642 nucleotides) under Euplatypus parallelus. RNAcentral describes it as "16S ribosomal RNA". The stretch from base 1402 to 1560 matches the Rfam family "Archaeal large subunit ribosomal RNA", at positions 2542 to 2701 of the family's 2987-position model. Lineage: Eukaryota; Metazoa; Arthropoda; Insecta; Coleoptera; Curculionidae. The record is from RNAcentral.